CAGCAGCCGCGGUAAUACAGAGGGUGCGAGCGUUAAUCGGAUUUACUGGGCGUAAAGCGUGCGUAGGCGGCUUCUUAAGUCGGAUGUGAAAUCCCUGAGCUUAACUUAGGAAUUGCAUUCGAUACUGGGAAGCUAGAGUAUGGGAGAGGAUGGUAGAAUUCCAGGUGUAGCGGUGAAAUUCGUAGAGAUCUGGAGGAAUACCGAUGGCGAAGGCAGCCAUCUGGCCUAAUACUGACGCUGAGGUACGAAAGCAUGGGGAGCAAACAGGAUUAGAUACCCCAGUAGUCCCUGUCUCUUAUAU
Molecule: ribosomal RNA, 301 nt
Filed under: uncultured bacterium
Lineage: Bacteria
Description: partial 16S ribosomal RNA
Rfam family: Bacterial small subunit ribosomal RNA
Source: RNAcentral